AAUAGAUACCCGGGUAGUCCACGCCGUAAACGAUGAGUGCUAAGUGUUAGAGGGUUUCCGCCCUUUAGUACUGCAGCUAACGCAUUAAGCACUCCGCCUGGGGAGUACGGUCGCAAGACUGAAACUCAAAGGAAUUGACGGGGGCCCGCACAAGCGGUGGAGCAUGUGGUUUAAUUCGAAGCAACGCGAAGAACCUUACCAGGUCUUGACAUCCUCUGACAACUCUAGAGAUAGAGUGUUCCCCUUCGGGGGACAGAGUGACAGGUGGUGCAUGGUUGUCGUCAGCUCGUGUCGUGAGAUGUUGGGUUAAGUCCCGCAACGAGCGCAACCCUUGAUCUUAGUUGCCAGCAUUUAGUUGGGCACUCUAAGGUGACUGCCGGUGACAAACCGGAGGAAGUGGGGAUGACGUCAAAUCAUCAUGCCCCUUAUGACCUGGGCUACACACGUGCUACAAUGGAUGGUACAAAGGGCUGCAAGACCGCGAGGUCAAGCCAAUCCCAUAAAACCAUUCUCAGUUCGGA
This 521-nucleotide ribosomal RNA is filed under the name uncultured bacterium. Its description in RNAcentral is "bacterial SSU rRNA". It matches the Rfam family "Bacterial small subunit ribosomal RNA", at positions 777 to 1297 of the family's 1533-position model. The record is from RNAcentral.